Coturnix japonica (Japanese quail) is the source of this 996-nucleotide non-coding RNA. The record is from RefSeq and is a predicted model, not a curated record. Lineage: Eukaryota; Metazoa; Chordata; Aves; Galliformes; Phasianidae.
UAAGAAAUAAUCUGGUGGCUCAGCAUGGCCUUCUUCACAAUGAAUAGAAAUCUUUUCUUCUUGCAGGCAGUGCAGCAGCAGAAGCUACCACUAAUGAAGAGGAGAGGGAGGAGAGAAUCCUAUCUCUAUGACACCUAUUUCUAACUCAUGUUUGGCUCAUUUGAUUUGUGCUUCUCUCUGGCCUUCCAGUACAACUGUCUGUACUACAUUGCAAAGGCAAGCCAGGAAAAAGACCUACUUAUUAAAGCUCGCCACCUUUUAGAUACAGAAAGGCCGCUAUCAGGUGUUCCCCCUGGACCCUUCUCUUCUCCAGCGUGAACAGCUCCAGUCCUCUCAGCCUGUCCUUGUCCCUUAAAUAAUUUCUGUGGCUCUGCUCUGGAUGCACUCCAACAGAUCUAUGUCUCUCCUGUACUGAGGACUCCUCAUCUGGAUGCAGUACUCCAGGUUAAGAUCUCACUAGCACAAAGUAGAGGGGCAGGACCACAUCCCUUCACCUGCUGGCCACACUUCUUUUGAUGCAGGCCAGGAUACGGUUGGCUUUCUGGGCUGCAAGGGCAUAUUGCUGGCUCAUGUCCAGCUUCCCACCCACCAGUACACCCAAGUCCUUUUUGACAAGCUUGUGCUCAAUGUUUUAGUCUCCCAGCUUGUAGUGAGUAGCAAUUGCUAUGAUACAGAUGCAAGACCUUGCACUUGGAUUUGCUGAACCUCCCAAUGUUCUCCUGGGCCUGUUGUAAUACAAGAAGAAUUUUGCAGAGCAGCAGCCAUGGAUCAAGAUAAGGACUUCACAAAGCAGCUGCGGAGCAGGAUAAACAGCAUGAGUACCAAGGACACCUCUAGGAUAAGAAUGAAUGGCUCGUGGCUUUGAAGGGGGCUUUUAGGGUUGUUAUUGCAGUAGCUUUCCUCCAAUUAAUGUGUGUGAUUUUUGGAUGCCCUCGUCUGUCUGCUGUAAAAGUAUGGCUUUUUGGGCAAUAAAUUGACACGCUAUAUGUAACCAUA